RNAcentral lists this long non-coding RNA (485 nucleotides) under Homo sapiens (human). RNAcentral describes it as "HSALNT0138528". The record is from RNAcentral. Lineage: Eukaryota; Metazoa; Chordata; Mammalia; Primates; Hominidae.
AGCCCGUUUGGGUUUGUCGUGGAUUUCCAUACAAGACAGACAUUUUCUUAAGUUUCCAGAUUCUUCAUUUACAAACACUUGUCUAAUAUUUUAAGCUUCCCACACGGCAGCAGACAUUUCCUUAUUUUGCUUCUCGGAAGUACUUGGGAAAAGAUAACCCAAAAGAUACUUCUAAGUGAAGCCCGUCCUUGCUGGUUGACCUCAGGAAACCAUGGGAAGUGUGUGGCCAUCUCUGCAAGGAUGCUGGGUGUGAAAAGGUUGCAGACAAAGGAACUGAUCCCAAGAAGAGUUUACUUGCCCAAGAUGUCACAGCUAUAAAAUGGAAGAACAUAAUUUAACUCCCAGAAAGUUGGACUUCCUAGAGUCUAUCACAAUGAGGAGAAAUGCACAUCUGAAUGUUUAAGUCAUCAUGGAGAAUAUUAAAGAAAUUUUUGUAUUUAGUUGCUAAUUACUAUUUACAUCUCCUUGACAUUUACAACAUAAUA